This is a non-coding RNA of Schistocerca gregaria, 73 nucleotides long. NCBI's taxonomy places the organism in Eukaryota, Metazoa, Arthropoda, Insecta, Orthoptera, Acrididae. The record is from the annotation of a RefSeq genome assembly.
GCUGUGGUGGUGUAGUGGUUAGCAUUUCUCCCUAGCAAGCAGGAAGACCCGGGUUCGAACCCCGGCUGCAGCA